GCAGUAGAACAUAGGAGUUGGAUGAGUGUCCAAUAUAAUAUGAGAGAGAUAGGAAAAGGGUAAAGAGGUAAAAAUUUUGAGAAAGAAAGAUUAGGACCUGCCCUGGUCGAGCAUCGCUCUCUGGGCUUAGUAGAGUGUGGUUGCCGGAGUAAAGGUCCCUGGUCGAGCAUUGCUCUCGGGGCGCCGGCUUAUUUGGAUAUUUAAGUGACCAGACUGGAG
RNAcentral lists this long non-coding RNA (219 nucleotides) under Ricinus communis (castor bean). RNAcentral's name for it is "long non-coding RNA (RCOM_LNC003317)". The record is from RNAcentral. Lineage: Eukaryota; Viridiplantae; Streptophyta; Magnoliopsida; Malpighiales; Euphorbiaceae.